AACGCAGCGAAAUGCGAUACUUGGUGUGAAUUGCAGAAUCCCGUGAACCAUCGAGUCUUUGAACGCAAGUUGCGCCCGAAGCCAAUAGGCCGAGGGCACGUCUGCCUGGGCGUCACGCAUCGCGUCUCCCCUGCACACUACGCCCAAACUAAGGGAAGUUAUGAUGCAUGGGAUGGAUAUU
This 181-nucleotide ribosomal RNA is filed under the name Brunfelsia mire. Its description in RNAcentral is "5.8S ribosomal RNA". The stretch from base 1 to 115 matches the Rfam family "5.8S ribosomal RNA", at positions 42 to 154 of the family's 154-position model. From Rfam's summary of the family: 5.8S ribosomal RNA (5.8S rRNA) is a component of the large subunit of the eukaryotic ribosome. It is transcribed by RNA polymerase I as part of the 45S precursor that also contains 18S and 28S rRNA. The record is from RNAcentral. Lineage: Eukaryota; Viridiplantae; Streptophyta; Magnoliopsida; Solanales; Solanaceae.